RNAcentral lists this ribosomal RNA (253 nucleotides) under uncultured bacterium. RNAcentral's name for it is "partial 16S ribosomal RNA". It matches the Rfam family "Bacterial small subunit ribosomal RNA", at positions 524 to 776 of the family's 1533-position model. The record is from RNAcentral.
UACGUAGGGGGCUCGCGUUGUCCGGAAUCAUUGGGCGUAAAGCGCGCGUAGGCGGCCCGGUAAGUCCGCUGUGAAAGUCCAGGGCUCAACCCUGGAAAGCCAGUGGAUACUGCCGGGCUAGAGUACGGAAGAGGCAAGUGGAAUUCCUGGUGUAGCGGUGGAAUGCGCAGAUAUCAGGAGGAACACCUAUAGCGAAGGCAGCUUGCUGGGACGUUACUGACGCUAAGGCGCGAAAGCGUGGGGAGCGAACAGG